This 500-nucleotide ribosomal RNA is filed under the name uncultured bacterium. RNAcentral describes it as "partial 16S ribosomal RNA". It matches the Rfam family "Bacterial small subunit ribosomal RNA", at positions 30 to 523 of the family's 1533-position model. The record is from RNAcentral.
AUUGAACGCUGGCGGAAUGCUUUACACAUGCAAGUCGAACGGCAGCACGGACUUCGGUCUGGUGGCGAGUGGCGAACGGGUGAGUAAUGUAUCGGAACGUGCCCAGUCGUGGGGGAUAACGUAGUGAAAAUUACGCUAAUACCGCAUACGAUCUAUGGAUGAAAGCGGGGGAUCGCAAGACCUCGCGCGAUUGGAGCGGCCGAUAGCAGAUUAGGUAGUUGGUGGGGGAAAGGCCCACCAAGCCAACGAUCUGGAGCUGGUCUGAGAGGACGACCAGCCACACUGGAACUGAGACACGGUCCAGACUCCUACGGGAGGCAGCAGUGGGGAAUUUUGGACAAUGGGCGAAAGCCUGAUCCAGCCAUUCCGCGUGCAGGAUGAAGGCCCUCGGGUUGUAAACUGCUUUUGUACAGAACGAAAAGGUUUCUACUAAUACUAGGAGCUCAUGACGGUACUGUAAGAAUAAGCACCGGCUAACUACGUGCCAGCCGCCGCGGUAA